RNAcentral lists this ribosomal RNA (710 nucleotides) under uncultured Gammaproteobacteria bacterium. RNAcentral describes it as "bacterial SSU rRNA". It matches the Rfam family "Bacterial small subunit ribosomal RNA", at positions 8 to 684 of the family's 1533-position model. The record is from RNAcentral. Lineage: Bacteria; Pseudomonadati; Pseudomonadota; Gammaproteobacteria.
AGAGUUUGAUCCUGGCUCAGAUUGAACGCUGGCGGCAGGCCUAACACAUGCAAGUCGAGCGGAAACGGCAAUAAAGAUUCUUCGGAUGAUUUAUUGGACGUCGAGCGGCGGACGGGUGAGUAAUGCUUAGGAAUUUGCCCAGUUGAGGGGGAUAACUAUUGGAAACGAUAGCUAAUACCGCAUACGCUCCUUUCUGUAAUGGGAGGGAGGAAAGAGGGGGCUCUUCGGACCUCUCGCGAUUGGAUAAGCCUAAGUGAGAUUAGCUAGUUGGUGAGGUAAUAGCUCACCAAGGCGACGAUCUCUAGCUGGUCUGAGAGGAUGAUCACCCACACUGGGACUGAGACACGGCCCAGACUCCUACGGGAGGCAGCAGUGGGGAAUAUUGCACAAUGGGGGGAACCCUGAUGCACCCAUGCCGCGUGUGUGAAGAAGGCCUUCGGGUUGUAAAGCACUUUCAGCAGUGAGGAAGGUAGUAGAGUUAAUAGCCCUAUUAUUUGACGUUAGCUGCAAAAGAAGCACCGGCUAACUCCGUGCCAGCAGCCGCGGUAAUACGGAGGGUGCGAGCGUUAAUCGGAAUUACUGGGCGUAAAGCGCAUGCAGGUGGUUUGUUAAGUCAGAUGUGAAAGCCCGGGGCUCAACCUCGGAAGGUCAUUUGAAACUGGCAAGCUAGAGUACUGUAGAGGGGGGUAGAAUUUCAGGUGUAGCGGUGA